This 253-nucleotide ribosomal RNA is filed under the name uncultured bacterium. Its description in RNAcentral is "partial 16S ribosomal RNA". It matches the Rfam family "Bacterial small subunit ribosomal RNA", at positions 524 to 776 of the family's 1533-position model. The record is from RNAcentral.
UACGGAGGGUGCAAGCGUUGCUCGGAAUUAUUGGGCGUAAAGGGUAGGUAGGUGGUCUCAUUUGUCUGGGGUGAAAGCCUUGAGCUUAACUCAAGAAGUGCCUCAGAAACGGUGAGACUAGAGUCCUAGAGAGGGUCGUGGAAUUCCCGGUGUAGCGGUGAAAUGCGUAGAGAUCGGGAGGAACACCAGAGGCGAAAGCGGCGACCUGGAUAGGCACUGACACUCAACUACGAAAGCGUGGGGAGCAAACAGG